CUUGUAUUAAGGGUGGGAUCAGAAAAGUCUUAAAUUAAUGGACAGAAGUGAGAUCCCUUCUCCACUAGAAGACACGCAUGAGGUGGUGCAGCCUAUGAUCUUGCUAAUGAGAGGUCACCAGCUGCUGAAGGUUUCCUGUGCUUUUCAACUCUAGCCUGAUAAGCCACCGAGCUUCCCAGAGUGUGGAUGCCCUUCUAGGUCCUUGAGAUAGAGAGUGCCAAGAACGAACAUUCUAAAUUGAGGGGGAAAACUCCCUUGAAACAAAAAUAAAACUUUUUUUUCC
Molecule: long non-coding RNA, 283 nt
Filed under: Vulpes vulpes (red fox)
Lineage: Eukaryota; Metazoa; Chordata; Mammalia; Carnivora; Canidae
Description: lncRNA (ENSVVUG00000012579.1)
Source: RNAcentral